Molecule: non-coding RNA, 27 nt
Filed under: Mus musculus (house mouse)
Lineage: Eukaryota; Metazoa; Chordata; Mammalia; Rodentia; Muridae
Source: RNAcentral
UGCCAUCUGCAACCUGAUUCAACGGCC